This 741-nucleotide ribosomal RNA is filed under the name uncultured bacterium. Its description in RNAcentral is "bacterial SSU rRNA". It matches the Rfam family "Bacterial small subunit ribosomal RNA", at positions 8 to 796 of the family's 1533-position model. The record is from RNAcentral.
AGAGUUUGAUCCUGGCUCAGAACGAACGCUGGCGGCAGGCUUAACACAUGCAAGUCGAACGCCCCGCAAGGGGAGUGGCAGACGGGUGAGUAACACGUGGGAACAUGCCCUAAGGUACGGAACAACUCCGGGAAACUGGAGCUAAUACCGUAUGUGCCCGAGAGGGGAAAGAUUUAUCGCCUUGGGAUUGGCCCGCGUCUGAUUAGCUAGUUGGUAGGGUAAUGGCCUACCAAGGCUACGAUCAGUAGCUGGUCUGAGAGGAUGGCCAGCCACACUGGGACUGAGACACGGCCCAGACUCCUACGGGAGGCAGCAGUGGGGAAUAUUGGACAAUGGGCGAAAGCCUGAUCCAGCCAUGCCGCGUGAGUGAUGAAGGCCUUAGGGUUGUAAAGCUCUUUCGCCAGGGACGAUAAUGACGGUACCUGGAUAAGAAGCCCCGGCUAACUUCGUGCCAGCAGCCGCGGUAAUACGAAGGGGGCUAGCGUUGUUCGGAAUUACUGGGCGUAAAGCGUAUGUAGGCGGAUCGUUAAGUCGGGGGUGAAAUCCCGAGGCUCAACCUCGGAACUGCCUUCGAUACUGGCGAUCUUCGAGUCCGGGAGAGGUGAGUGGAACUCCGAGUGUAGAGGUGAAAUUCGUAGAUAUUCGGAAGAACACCAGUGGCGAAGGCGGCUCACUGGCCCGGUACUGACGCUGAAAUACGAAAGCGUGGGGAGCAAACAGGAUUAGAUACCCUAGUAGUCC